ACACGUUUGAUGUUUAGGCGAGGGCAUUGAAUGGCAUACAUUCGGAAUUUGGCGUACAGAACAAGAAUGUUCGAAUUACAACAGACAAUGGGUCAAAUUUCUUAAAGGAAACCAGGUGGAAUUCCUUGUUUCUCGCCGUUGAGAGAAUCCUUCGUAUCAUUAAAGAGCAGAGAGAGGGGGCCAUCAGAACUGUAUGCUCUUCACUCAAGUUGCCCAUGUUGAGAUGGCCUUUCUGGAAGACCAUGCCAGAACCAUGAGACCAGUCGCCAAUCAGAGACAUGCUGGUAGAGCCUGAGUUUAUUGCUGCUGCAGUCCUUGUCCUGAAAUUCAAAACAUCCUGGACAUCAGAUGAAAACAUUGUCAAACCAGGCCUGGACUACAUCAAGGACCAUCUGGAGGAAGAGGCUUCGAAUCAGUCACCGGUUGAUGGUUCCAGUGCGUCUGAUGAUGAGGACUUUUUUUGCAAGCAUGAAGCCUACUCAUGGUCAGGAAGGUAUCCAGCAGUUAGAUGGCUACCUUGCCUGCGAAGCUGAUGACAAAGAAAUUCUGAAGUCCUUCAGGCCAUCUGCAGAUUGUCUUUGAAGGUCAAUACUGCUUUAUGUGC
Molecule: long non-coding RNA, 604 nt
Organism: Pygocentrus nattereri (red-bellied piranha)
Lineage: Eukaryota; Metazoa; Chordata; Actinopteri; Characiformes; Serrasalmidae
Exons: 3
Source: RefSeq, a predicted model, not a curated record